GACGAACGCUGGCGGCGUGCCUAACACAUGCAAGUCGAACGAAAAGGCCAUGAGUUUGUGGGGCGCUCGUGUGGCGAACGGGUGAGUAACACGUGAGUAAAACGUACCUGAAAUAGGGAUAACUUCAGGAAAAAGGGGCUCAUAUCGGAUAGGAGCUCUUGCUGCAUGGUGUGGGUUGGUAAGUUUCGGCGGUUGGGGAUGGACUCGCGGCUUAUCAGCCUGUUGGUGGGGUAGUGGAAUACCAAGGCUUUGAGGGGUAGCCGGCCUGAGAGGGGGACCGGCGACAAUGGUACUGAGAGACGCCCCAGACUGCUACGGGACGCAGUGGUGGGGAACCUUACACAGUGGGCGGAAGUCUGUUGCGGCAACGCCGCGUGCGGGAUGACGUCCUUCGGGUGGUAAACCACUUUGUCCGGUGACGUGGCGUUAGUGACGGUAAUUGGUAAAGAAGCACCGGCUAACUACGUG
Molecule: ribosomal RNA, 468 nt
Filed under: uncultured bacterium
Lineage: Bacteria
Description: partial 16S ribosomal RNA
Rfam family: Bacterial small subunit ribosomal RNA
Source: RNAcentral